CAGUCGCCGCGGUAAUACGAGGGGGGCAAGCGUUGUUCGGAAUUAUUGGGCGUAAAGGGCGCGUAGGCGGUUUGGCAAGUUUGGUGUGAAAUCUUCGGGCUCAACUCGAAGUCUGCAUCGAAAACUGCCGGGCUUGAGUAUGGGAGAGGUGAGUGGAAUUUCCGGUGUAGCGGUGAAACGCGUAGAUAUCGGAAGGAACACCUGUGGCGAAAGCGGCUCACUGGACCAUUACUGACGCUGAGGCGCGAAAGCUAGGGGAGCAAACAGGAUUAGAUACCCCCGUAGUCCCUGUCUCUUAUAA
This 301-nucleotide ribosomal RNA is filed under the name uncultured bacterium. RNAcentral describes it as "partial 16S ribosomal RNA". It matches the Rfam family "Bacterial small subunit ribosomal RNA", at positions 509 to 809 of the family's 1533-position model. The record is from RNAcentral.